AUCACUCUCCUAAGCAAUGCUGUUGCGCAGUUCAAGAAAUACAAGUGUCUAAGAAUGAGGAGCCACCUGAUGGUCCAGAUGGGGGAAGAAUACUACCAUGCCAAGGAAUAUGCCAAAGCCUUGAAGUAAUUGGACUAUGUGAUGAGUG
Molecule: long non-coding RNA, 148 nt
Organism: Protopterus annectens (West African lungfish)
Lineage: Eukaryota; Metazoa; Chordata; Ceratodontiformes; Protopteridae
Exons: 4
Source: RefSeq, a predicted model, not a curated record